UGGGGAAUCUUGGACAAUGGGGGCAACCCUGAUCCAGCCAUGCCGCGUGGACGAUGAAGGCCUUAGGGUUGUAAAGUCCUUUGACCGGUGAAGAUAAUGACGGUAGCCGGAGAAGAAGCCCCGGCUAACUCCGUGCCAGCAGCCGCGGUAAUACGGUGGGGGCUAGCGUUGUUCGGAAUUACUGGGCGUAAAGCGCGCGUAGGCGGGCAUUUAAGUCGGGGGUGAAAUCCCGGGGCUCAACCCCGGAACUGCCUCCGAUACUGGAUGCCUAGAGGUCGAGAGAGGUGAGUGGAAUUCCGAGUGUAGAGGUGAAAUUCGUAGAUAUUCGGAGGAACACCAGUGGCGAAGGCGGCUCACUGGCUCGAUACUGACGCUGAGGUGCGAAAGCGUGGGGAGCAAACAGGAUUAGAUACCCCGGUAGUCC
This 424-nucleotide ribosomal RNA is filed under the name uncultured prokaryote. RNAcentral's name for it is "bacterial SSU rRNA". It matches the Rfam family "Bacterial small subunit ribosomal RNA", at positions 355 to 796 of the family's 1533-position model. The record is from RNAcentral.